Non-coding RNA from Trichonephila inaurata madagascariensis, 70 nucleotides. Lineage: Eukaryota; Metazoa; Arthropoda; Arachnida; Araneae; Nephilidae. The record is from the annotation of a GenBank genome assembly.
UGUAGCGCUUUGGAUAGCGCACGUUGGACUUCUAAUCCAAAGGUCGUGGAUACGAAUCCCACCUGGAAAG